UAAUACCGCAUACGCUCUACGGAGGAAAGGGGGGGAUCGCAAGACCUCUCGCUCAAGGGGCGGCCGAUGGCAGAUUAGCUAGUUGGUGGGGUAAAGGCCUACCAAGGCGACGAUCUGUAGCUGGUCUGAGAGGACGACCAGCCACACUGGGACUGAGACACGGCCCAGACUCCUACGGGAGGCAGCAGUGGGGAAUUUUGGACAAUGGGCGCAAGCCUGAUCCAGCAAUGCCGCGUGUGUGAAGAAGGCCUUCGGGUUGUAAAGCACUUUUGUCCGGAAAGAAAACUUCCUGGUUAAUACCUGGGGAGGAUGACGGUACCGGAAGAAUAAGCACCGGCUAACUACGUGCCAGCAGCCGCGGUAAUACGUAGGGUGCGAGCGUUAAUCGGAAUUACUGGGCGUAAAGCGUGCGCAGGCGGUCUGUUAAGACAGAUGUGAAAUCCCCGGGCCUAACCUGGGAACUGCAUUUGUGACUG
Molecule: ribosomal RNA, 476 nt
Filed under: uncultured Burkholderia sp.
Lineage: Bacteria; Pseudomonadati; Pseudomonadota; Betaproteobacteria; Burkholderiales; Burkholderiaceae
Description: bacterial SSU rRNA
Rfam family: Bacterial small subunit ribosomal RNA
Source: RNAcentral